UGUGUCAGUAAUGCAGGAUUAAAACUCCAAAUUUCUUUGGAGUUUAAAGCCUGAAUUCCUGGAACAAAACCAUCCCUACCAUAAACGCAGCUUAUUCAGUGGCUACAUUUUGCAUGGGGAAUUAUGUCAAAACUCCUCAUUGGAACCUUUGCAAAAGUAUGAUGCAUUUCCAGCCUCCUCCAUGAAAAACUGUGGUAGGGCAAUACUGGACACCAACACAAAUAACAGGAGCUUCCUGUUGAGAAUUCCUCUUUUGGGAAUACCUGAGAGCAGUGGGACAGCAACAGAGCUACACUUUUCUGCAAAUGUGAAACAGAUUGGUCUUCCUGUUCAUAUCCUCUGGGAUGUAUUUUGUCCUUACUGAAAUGUAAAUUUAGUGUUGGCUUCAGUCUGUCUUCUAGGAUAAGUAGCUAGACUUUUCAUAGUCCUUCCAAAUUAAAAUGCACUAAUUAAUAAAUUGUAACAGGAUUUGUUAUCCUGACUGACCUACCCUCCUAGUGAAGAAAGUUCACACUUCCAAAUGUACUUUUCUAACACUUUCAAAGCUCUCUUCUGCACCUGCACCAGAGCUAUCCCGUCUCAUAUCACUUCUGUGAGGGAUAUAACAUGUGCAGGACUCAUCCAGAAAGGAUGGUUCCAGAAUACUUACAGAGGAUCUUCCCAACACCAUAAGAGAAUCACUAAAAACCAUUUCAUUGGGUGAGCAAUUUCAAUUUCAUUCUUGUGAUAUUACAAAUUCUGGUAAGAAUUCACUAUCUCUGUGCCUUGAAGUUCUCUCAAGUGGGUCCUAAUCAUACCCCAACGGAGUCAGGUGGGAUUUAGGCCCCUGAAACAGCAUAAAGGCAUUUUAAGACGUCUAAAUUCAUAAUUGUAAUUCCUGCUUGGAGGCUGUGCAGCCCCAGGGAAACAUUAGUGUUUGCAGGAUUCUUCCAUUUUGCUCCAAAAGAUGCCAGACCACUUGUUUUUCUGUUCCAAGGUGAGUGGUCUGGAAAACAGCCCCUCCUUUACUUGCUUUGCAGAUUCUCCUGAGAUUCACAAGGAAAUUCUUGAUCCAGUCUUGGAGAAGAGGGAUACAUUAUGCAGAAACCCUCUGCUAUGUGAUGGGACAUGGCAACCCUGCUGUGAGAAUGCCUAUCAGCGCUUCUUUUAAGGCCCUUUCUCAAUUGUCAGCAAAGUAUUUUUUAAGGUUAAAAGGUGUAAAAUUAUUCUGAAACGCUUUUCUGACCUGUCGCCUAUCACUGCAAAAAGCUAUAGUUCAUUUUUUUUCUAAAAUUGUAUUUUUAAAAUGUGAUAUUAUAAGAAUAAAGCUAGUAAGAAAAAUAUCA
Molecule: long non-coding RNA, 1325 nt
Filed under: Zonotrichia albicollis (white-throated sparrow)
Lineage: Eukaryota; Metazoa; Chordata; Aves; Passeriformes; Passerellidae
Description: lncRNA (ENSZALG00000010393.1)
Source: RNAcentral